This 301-nucleotide ribosomal RNA is filed under the name uncultured bacterium. RNAcentral's name for it is "partial 16S ribosomal RNA". It matches the Rfam family "Bacterial small subunit ribosomal RNA", at positions 509 to 807 of the family's 1533-position model. The record is from RNAcentral.
CAGCAGCCGCGGGAAUACGAAGGGGGCGAGCGUUGCUCGGAAUGACUGGGCGUAAAGGGCGCGUAGGUGGUACGGACAGUCAGAUGUGAAAUUCCCGGGCUCAACCUGGGGGCUGCAUUUGAUACGUCCGAACUAGAGUGUGGAAGAGGGUCGUGGAGUUCCCAGUGUAGAGGUGAAAUUCGUAGAUAUUGGGAAGAACACCGGUGGCGAAGGCGGCGACCUGGUCCAUUACUGACGCUGAGGCGCGAAAGCGUGGGGAGCAAACAGGAUUAGAUACCCGCGUAGUCCCUGUCUCUUAUAC